Molecule: ribosomal RNA, 388 nt
Filed under: uncultured bacterium
Lineage: Bacteria
Description: bacterial SSU rRNA
Rfam family: Bacterial small subunit ribosomal RNA
Source: RNAcentral
GACGAACGCUGGCGGCGUGCUUAACACAUGCAAGUCGAGCGGUAAGGCCCUUUCGGGGGUACACGAGCGGCGAACGGGUGAGUAACACGUGGGUGACCUGCCCUCAGCUCUGGGAUAAGCCUGGGAAACCGGGUCUAAUACUGGAUAUGACUCCAUGACGCAUGUUGUGGGGUGGAAAGCCUUGUGCGGCUGAGGAUGGGCCCGCGGCCUAUCAGCUUGUUGGUGGGGUGAUGGCCUACCAAGGCGACGACGGGUAGCCGGCCUGAGAGGACGACCGGCCACACUGGGACUGAGACACGGCCCAGACUCCUACGGGAGGCAGCAGUGGGGAAUCUUGCGCAAUGGGCGAAAGCCUGACGCAGCGACGCCGCGUGAGGGAUGACGGCCU